CAUGAUCUUUUUGUUGGAGUUGGGGUAGGACUACCCUGUACUGUAAUGGAGUGUGGUGAUAUAAUUUAUAGAAGCACACUGCCCAAGUCAAAUGGGAUCACAGUCACUGUUCCUGGGGUUAUUUUGGCUUUGGGUACCCUGUCUUACCUCUGGGCUACUCCUGGUGUCGCUCCUGGUUUCUUCGAUAUGUUUGUUCUUGCCUUUGUUGAAAGAUUGUUUCGACCUACUUAUAAGAAGGUACUCCUAUUAGUUAUUUAGUUAGUUAGGUCCCCAAAUUCUAAAAUCUUGUUUGUUUGCAGGAUGAAAUUGUUCUGGGAAAGAAACUGGGUGAGGGAUCUUUUGGUUCUGUUUAUAGAGUUUCUUUGGCAAGAAAGCCAUCUUCAAAGGGUGGUGAUUUAGUCUUAAAAAGAGCAACUGAAUAUGGAGCAGUGGAAAUAUGGAUGAAUGAGCGUGUGCGUAGAGCUUGUGCUAAUAGUUGUGCUGAUUUUAUCUAUGGGUUUAGAGAGGUACACUUGUAAUUAUCACAUGCAUUUUUCUAUAUUGCAAUGAGUUAUUUAUGUUUAAAACUUUGCUAGAGUUCUUCAAAGAAAGGAGCAGAGUAUUGGCUUCUUUGGCGGUUCGAAGGUGAAGCUACACUUGCUGAUUUGAUGCAGAGUAGAGAGUUUCCCUACAACGUAGGUGUUCCAUUCUCUUGUUACCUAGGUCUUGUUACAGCUUUUAUAUGUAGAUUUAACACAUUUUUGUGUAGUUUCCUGGCUACAACAGGAACUGCUUUGGGGACACCACCUCAAAUUCCAUUAGUGGUCUAACAGUCCUUGCAUAGAAAAAACAUUCUCAUGUGAACACUUUGCUCUCCUAGUAAAUGUUCAGUAAUUCCAAUAGACCUGGAUAGAUAGUCAAGAAUUCCCCUAUUUCAUUACAUACUGUCCUGGGCGAAAUUAGAGCUCUGCGCUUAUACCAUUGCGAGUGAGGUGAGUGUACAGAUUGUGAAAGGAUCUGAGUUUCCCGUGUCUGUGGAGUUUUCCUUCUAAGAGGAUCAGGUGGAGAUAGAAUCUAAAGAAUAUAUAUGUUAUAUAAAGUUGUCUAAGGAUCAUUUGAUAUUCGAGGAUGAGCUUCAUUGGUAUUAAAUAGUCUCCUAAAAAGAUCUAAUGUAGGAGAAAUCCCUAGCAGUGAUAAGUAAUAUUACAAUGUUUUUCUGUUGAAUGAAAUUAAACCAGUAUCAAAACCUUCUUAGUUCAAAUAUAAGAAAAAUAUGUUCAUUUUAGCAUUUACAUGUUAAGGGAAAUUGACAAAUACAGAGCUGAGAAGAAUGAUUUUUGAUUUCGUAGUGAAAGUGUAUGAUAGAUACUGAUAGAGUUAAAUGACAAAAGGAUGUCGUAUAAAACGCUUAGAAAAUGCAAUUCUCUACUANAAGCCUUUAUCUUUGUCGAUACGAUUGAAGAAACAAUGGAAUUCAGGGAUUGUUUACUGUAGCCUUGCACAUGAUCUUUUUGUUGGAGUUGGGGUAGGACUACCCUGUACUGUAAUGGAGUGUGGUGAUAUAAUUUAUAGAAGCACACUGCCCAAGUCAAAUGGGAUCACAGUCACUGUUCCUGGGGUUAUUUUGGCUUUGGGUACCCUGUCUUACCUCUGGGCUACUCCUGGUGUCGCUCCUGGUUUCUUCGAUAUGUUUGUUCUUGCC
Molecule: long non-coding RNA, 1681 nt
Filed under: Solanum pimpinellifolium
Lineage: Eukaryota; Viridiplantae; Streptophyta; Magnoliopsida; Solanales; Solanaceae
Description: long non-coding RNA (SPIM_LNC000116)
Source: RNAcentral